ACAAAAUACAGAGAAUAAAUGGCAACUGUUCAUAUUAAUUUCUUCUUUGUUGACGCUGUGUAUGAAAAACUAUACAUUUAUAUUUGUAUGUAAAAGACUAUGAGUGAAAAAUGUGAAGGCUCUAUAUAUCCAACUUUGAUCUUGAUCUGGUCUAAAUGUUUUUGAAAUAAUAAAAACUCGUUAAAGAAAAGUUCUUAAUUAAAAUAGCAUGUAAAAAGUCAAUUAAUAAAAAAUUACUCAUUUAUUAGACUUCAGAACCUAUUGCAGACCAGGACAAAAAAAAAUCAAGAGAUCAUGUACAAAGCAUGGAAGCGAAGUACAAUCUGUGUUUAUGUAAGCUGAUUAAAGAAUAACUUUGUUAGUUUGUAGGAUCGGAUGAAAAAAAGUAUGUAGCAUCCUGUAGUACAGUAGCUAUGUGUGAACGAAUAUUUCUGAAAGACAGAUCUGGUCUCUUGUCCAAUUCUCAGUUGACCAACACUAAAAUCAAGACAGGCCACAAGAUAGGCCACAAGAAGGUCUACAUCUUAGAUCGGGGUCAGAAGAUAACGACCCUGCAAAGCCAGCCGUAUUUGGAACAGACCGGGUGCAGGCUGAACACUGAACACAAGAAGUUAUACAAAGAAAAGACAAAAUCUUCAGUCUCAGAGAUAAAAGAUUUGAGAAAGUUUAAGUACUCUUGUUUUGAUUUAACGCCCUACAGGUCAGAGCAGUGAGUUGGUGUUGCGAUCUAACCAAGAGACUGGCAGGCCAGAUCCUUACGCUGAUACGCCUAAAUGUUACGUCAGACUUAACAAAGACGAUGUGACCAGGCCGUGCAGAGGCAGACACAGGAAUGAUGCUGGCGGGUCCAAGGGGGAUGGGAGAGACGAGAACACCAGCAAUGUCGUCUGUGUUGGUGCCGACACAGAUGAGGACGAUGGGGCGUGCGACGACGACGAUGAGUACGACGAGGAGACUGGGGGCGCCCCCCAAGCCGUGCGAGCCAUGCAGCUAACGAAUACUGAAGUCAGUAACAAAAUUAUUAUCGACCCUCACAAGCAGAAAAUGGAAGACUUUGCCAGGAGAGUCCCCAGCAAACAUCUAGUCAAGCAUUUGUCUUGCGAAGGCUACUUCAAUUUUACCUAUGAUAGAUUUGCAAGAACAAACUGCUUGGACCAAAUUCCUAAAUGCCUGUGCUUGGCGCCGAAAAUCGGCAAGAAGAAAAAGGCCAAAAAAACUGGCCAACAUGUGGUCUGAUAAACUAUAUUGACUUUCUUGUUUUAAAUUCUGCUUUGGGAUCUACAAGAUAAAAAUAAAUUGUGACACAGAU
Biomphalaria glabrata is the source of this 1309-nucleotide RNA transcript. RefSeq lists it as uncharacterized. Lineage: Eukaryota; Metazoa; Mollusca; Gastropoda; Planorbidae. The record is from RefSeq and is a predicted model, not a curated record. The transcript is spliced from 4 exons.